GACGAACCGUGCAAACGUUGUUCGGAAUCACUGGGCUUAAAGGGCGCGUAGGCGGAUGCAUCAGUCAGGGGUGAAAUCCCACGGCUCAACCGUGGAAGUGCCUUUGAGACGGUGUGUCUAGAGGGAGGUAGGGGCGUGCGGAACUUCCGGUGGAGCGGUGAAAUGCGUAGAUAUCGGAAGGAACACCGGUGGCGAAAGCGGCGCGCUGGACCUCUUCUGACGCUGAGGCGCGAAAGCCAGGGGAGCAAACGGG
This 253-nucleotide ribosomal RNA is filed under the name uncultured bacterium. Its description in RNAcentral is "partial 16S ribosomal RNA". It matches the Rfam family "Bacterial small subunit ribosomal RNA", at positions 524 to 776 of the family's 1533-position model. The record is from RNAcentral.